This 461-nucleotide ribosomal RNA is filed under the name uncultured bacterium. Its description in RNAcentral is "bacterial SSU rRNA". It matches the Rfam family "Bacterial small subunit ribosomal RNA", at positions 28 to 507 of the family's 1533-position model. The record is from RNAcentral.
GAUGAACGUUGGCGGUGUGCCUAAUACAUGCAAGUCGAACGGAGACUGUAGCAAUACUGUCUUAGUGGCGAACGGGUGAGUAACGCGUUGGUGAUCUGCCUCGAAGUGUGGAAUAACCUCCCGAAAGGGAAGCUAAUACCGCAUAGUCUCUCAAGGUUUAGAAAAUUGAGAGUAAAGGAUUUAUUCGCUUCGAGAGGAGCCUGCGUCCCAUCAGCUAGUUGGUAGGGUAACGGCCUACCAAGGCAAUGACGGGUAGGGGACCUGAGAGGGUGGCCCCCCACAAUGGAACUGAAACACGGUCCAUACACCUACGGGUGGCAGCAGUAGGGAAUAUUAGAAAUGGGCGGAAGCCUGAUCUAGCAACACCGCGUGUGCGAUGAAGGCCUUGGGUCGUAAAGCACUUUUUGGAGGGAAUAGGAAGGAAGGUACCGUUCCAGAAUAAAGUCUCGGCUAACUACGUG